Long non-coding RNA from Mobula hypostoma (lesser devil ray), 4021 nucleotides. RefSeq lists it as uncharacterized. The record is from RefSeq and is a predicted model, not a curated record. NCBI's taxonomy places the organism in Eukaryota, Metazoa, Chordata, Chondrichthyes, Myliobatiformes, Myliobatidae. The transcript is spliced from 2 exons.
UCCGGGCGGGCGAUUCCAUUGGCCGGGGCUGCUGUCGAUCGUUGUUGGAGGCGGGCUGGCAGCGGCAGUCCGGGCGGGCGAGAGCCGCGGUGCUGCCGUGUUCACUGAGCUCCGCGGGCGGUGGGCUGCGCUCCGGCCAGGUAAUCCACCAUGAGGCAGGAGAUGGUAGCCACCUGGGUGGUCCUGCUGCUGACAGGGAGCCUGAGUGACCUCUUGGUCGAGGCUGGCCGCUCCAGAACCAUGGGUCGGCCUGGGCCUGCCCUCAAGCCCAAGAAGGGACUCUCCAACAAGGCCAAGAUCGCGGCAGCCGGGGUUGCAGGAGUUGCAGGGGGAUUGGUCUUGGGCUCGGUUUUAAGCGGAGGGGGGUCCCCGAGCCAAUGGCGUAACAAUCAACAGCAGAUGAUCAAUGGGACCCUGGGCACUGGAGCUGUGGUGUCCCCACUGGGCAGCCUGGGGCUGAUGAGCUCUAUGCUUGUCCUGACUCAUUGCAUUUCAGUCUAAUGUUGUCAUGCCUCUCCCAGUCCAACCAAAGGCUUCUGUCCUGACCUGCUCCUCGGUGUUACCCACAUCCUCUCCACCCAUUAGCCUGAUGCAGUUCACCGAUUGGACUCAGUGUGGCCCUUCUGUGCCAGGGUCGCAAUCUCAGACCUUCAGCCCACAAACCCCAUGGGAAUUCUGACCAUCAGCCACAUUCCUGGGCAUCACAACUGGUGGGAAAUGGACCUGGGGCACACUGCUUUCUCUUCCCCUCAGGAAGAUGAAGAUUUAAAACCCUGGUCACAGCCCUUCCAUUUGGAAAUGGAUUUCAGUGGAGUUGAAUCUCUCCACCUCUCUGGGGCAGUCCUUCUUUAUUAAUAUUUAAAUACUUUGAUCCCAAAGUGAAGUCCAAGGUGAGAGAGCUAGCCUGUCAGCAGCAGUUACAAAAAUUGUAUCUUAGUUGUCCACUGUUCUUGGGGUGAGAGUGUCAUUGACAGCGUCCAGUAUUAAUAUCGUUCAGACUCUGGGCUAACAUUCCUCAGGAAAUUCUGACACUUCCAGGAUUCUGAGCCUCUCCAUGUUCCAAAUGUUUGCUGAUGGAGGGCAGAAAUAGCAAGCCAAGAUGGACAUUUGAGAGUUUUGGAAGGGGCAAGAAGACUUUCUAACCGUUCAAUAAGAUCUUCACUGUAACCCCACUGUACCCAUUUUGGUUUGCCAAUCUGUACAGCACUACCCAACAAAAAUAUGUUAUGGCUGUCAACACAGCAGGCCAGGCAGCAUCUCUAGGAAGAGGUACAGUCGACGUUUCUGGCCGAGACCCUUCCUGCCUGGCCUGCUGUGUUCACCAGCAACUUUGAUGUGUGUUGCUUGAAUUUCCAGCGUCUGCAGAAUUCCUCGUGUUAUGGCUCUCAAUCUUGGCGGCUAGUUGGGCGAGUCUCAGAUAGCUCUGGCUGUGUGACGGAGUGCUUGGUUGAACUCAAGUCUGACAAAAGGACUCCAACCUGAAGCAUUAAAAUCUCUUCACAGAUGCUGCCUGGCCCUCCGUUUCCAGGACUUUCCCUUUAUUCCCAUUUAACCACUGACUGACAGUGCAGUGGGGUUACAGUGCGAGGGACUGACAGUGCAGUGGGGUUACAGUGAGAGGGACUGACUGACAGUGCAGUGGGGUUACAGUGAGAGGGAUUGACUGACAGUGCAGUGGGGUUACAGUGAGAGAGACUGACAGUGCAGUGGGGUUACAGUGAGAGGGACUGACAGUGCAGUGGGGUUACAGUGAGAGGGACUGACCGACAGUGCAGUGGGGUUACAGUGAGAGGGACUGACAGUGCAGUGGGGUCACAGUGAGAGGGACUGACAGUGCAGUGGGGUUACAGUGAGAGGGACUGACCGACAGUGCAGUGGGGUUACAGUGAGAGGGACUGACAGUGCAGUGGGGUCACAGUGAGAGGGACUGACCGACAGUGCAGUGGGGUUACAGUGAGAGGGACUGUCCCAAACUGAACUGAAGAUGAUUUAUUUCUGAAGAUAACAUCACUCAGUUAUCUCCUGCCCACACCUUCAGAUUUUCUACCAUAUUGAGAUGCUUGCUCACCUUUGGAGCUUGAGGUUCUUGGCAACAUUGGAGAACUGGGUGGAGGAAUUUGGACAGAUGAGAAGGGAGGGAGGUGUCAGAAGGGUCAGGGACUGUGGGUAGGGUUGCAGGGAAGAGUGGGUGAUAGAGGGAUUGUUCAAUACUUUUUUGGGGAAUGGGGUAGAAGGCUGGAGGAACUUGGAUGGAUGAGGAAGGAGUCAUGUAUCUUGGGUAGGGUUGCAGGAAAUGGAAGCGUGGGGAAUAGUGAGAGGAGUUGGUCAAAAUCAUUUUGGGGUUCAGUAGCUAUUAGUGAAAGCUGGGAGAAGCAACGCGACACCGAGAGUGGCCAAAGUGGGUGACCAUGAUGCGGUAUUAAUCUGAAAAUCCACUAUGCCACACACAGCUUGGUUGGUUUAAGUAUUUCUCUGACAGAGGCUUAUUGCCCUGGGGACAAGGGGGGCAGGCUUUGCCCUGCCUGUAAAGCUGGUAUUCAGACAUUGCUGAGGUAUUGACCGUUUGACGUGGAAGCAGAAUCAGGCCAUUUGGCUCACUGAGUCUGGUAUUGCAUUCCUUCUAUUUUUGUCCCUCUCAACUCCGUUCUCCUGCCUUGUCCCUGAAGCCUUUGACACCCGAACUCAUCAAGAGCACUUUUUAGACAUUGGGUAAUACUGGUAAAUUUCCCAUGUGCUUUUUUUUAGUACCUUUAGAAUCAGUCCAGCAUGCUUUCCACUCCAUAAACAGGGUUUGUACAGUGACAGCCUCAGGUGAUGGUAUUAGUGGUAUGUCAGUGUUCAAUACCGUUUGUGGAUCAAGAUAACACUGAAGCCUGGAACUCACCAUCCACCAGCAUCUGCUGAAUUUAUCUGAGGCCUAUGAAAGGACGUGCCCAACUCCACAGGGCCCCAUUUCAACCUUUGACCCAGGGAGCUGCUUACUGGGCAAUUACACCCUGAGUUACAGGAGAUGGGUGUUGGCAGAUACCCCCCAAACCCAGACAGAGGCCACUGAAGCUCAGUCUGACCUGCAUCCCAGCUACUGCAGGAUGUCACAAUCAUACCGUUAACCUCAGUAACCCAAACCUCCCAAAGCCAAGACCAGUUCUGUCCGUCACAGGUUAAAAACAGGUGUGGGCAGUGCUCAGUCACCACACAUUGUGUGGGGCAUGCUGAGGCCAGGUAGGUCCUCUGUUCCAUUCAGGUUGUCCGCAAAGAAAGGAGGUUUCAUCUACUUUUCUUUAAUCCAGGGGUUGUGUUCCCAACCAUUUUAAUGCCAUGGACUCCUGCCAUUCAGGGAGGGCUCUGUGGAUUAGCCAAGGUUGGGAACCCCUGCUUUAAUCUAGUCCAUAAGAGAUUUCAAUGGUGACUUGCUGUCAGAUGUACCACCUGGCCCACCCCGUAAACAGUCCUGGGUGAAGCAGUUCCAUUGAUGAUUGCACCAUUCUAACACAUUGCCUUCAGUGACCACAUGGAAGAAACAAGAUGGCAUUUGGAUGAUUGCUUUGCAGAACACCUCCGUUCUCCAAGGGCCAUCCAUCACUCUCUCACCUUGUCAUCGUGCAUUUGGUGUGCACUGUUCCUAACACAGUGUGUAACUCAAAGAACUGUAUCUCAUCUUUUAUUUUGGCUGGCUGAACCUGUUCAGACCAUGCUGCCUGAGGAGCUGGUGCUGAGGGAGCUUUCUUUGUAUCUAACCUACGCUAUACUCGACAGUAGGGCCGCUGCUCAAAGAAGAAAACCCCACUUGGUUGCGUAGAGCGUGGCCAGAUUGUUCCUGUGCAUUUUCCUCGUAAUGGUGUGGAAAUUUCUACUUUGGCUUCAUGAUUGCAGUGUACAUUUCUGGUUUUGAAGAAUUUCCUGAACAAAAAUGUCACUCAUCAGUGCAAGACUCUCUCUGUACAAUCUCAAAGCCUUUCAUAUUUGAAUUGCCUUUAAUUUGUUACAGAUGUGCAUGACAAUAAAAUUACUGGUGACCUAA